RNAcentral lists this small nucleolar RNA (75 nucleotides) under Salix viminalis (osier). RNAcentral describes it as "Small nucleolar RNA Z155". It matches the Rfam family "Small nucleolar RNA Z155". Rfam says of the family: Z155 is a member of the C/D class of snoRNA which contain the C (UGAUGA) and D (CUGA) box motifs. Most of the members of the box C/D family function in directing site-specific 2'-O-methylation of substrate RNAs. RNAcentral also lists the same sequence under 1 other name. The record is from Rfam by way of RNAcentral. Lineage: Eukaryota; Viridiplantae; Streptophyta; Magnoliopsida; Malpighiales; Salicaceae.
CAUUGACGUGAUGAUAUCUUUGACGGAAUUUAAAAUGUCGACUAAAAUUUUCAGACUACAAUUAUCUGAUCACUG